RNAcentral lists this unclassified non-coding RNA (329 nucleotides) under soil metagenome. RNAcentral describes it as "partial contains 5.8S ribosomal RNA, internal transcribed spacer 2, and large subunit ribosomal RNA". The stretch from base 1 to 120 matches the Rfam family "5.8S ribosomal RNA", at positions 35 to 154 of the family's 154-position model. The record is from RNAcentral.
GAUGAAGAACGUAGCGAAAUGCGAUAAGUAAUGUGAAUUGCAGAAUUUAGUGAAUCAUCGAAUGUUUGAACGCACAUUGCGCCCCCUGGUAUUCCGGGGGGCAUGCCUGUCCGAGCGUCAUUACAACCCUCAAGCUCAGCUUGGUAUUGGGCCCCGCCGCUCCGGCGGGCCCUAAAGUCAGUGGCGGUGCCGUCCGGCUCCGAGCGUAGUAAUUCUUCUCGCUCUGGAGGCCCGGUCGUGUGCUCGCCAGCAACCCCCAAUUUUUUUCAGGUUGACCUCGGAUCAGGUAGGGAUACCCGCUGAACUUAAGCAUAUCAAUAAGCGGAGGA